AGUGGAUGUGUCGUCUGACCGUAGGUUCUCUGGUCGAGCAAGUCUCCUGCGCUAUGGGAAGCUGAGGAGGUGCUUUCUUUCUUUCUGUCUCUGUCUCUCUUUCUUUACGUCUCUGUCUCUGUUGAGGUGCUUGCUUGCUUGCUUGCUUACUUUCUGUCUGUCUGUCUCUUUCUCUUUUUCUUUCUCUUUCUCUCUUUCCUUUCUUUCUCACUGUGUCGCCCAGGCUGGAGUGCAGUGGCGCAAUCUCAGCUCACUGCAACCUCCGCCUCGCGGGUUCAGGCGAUUCUCCUGCCUCAGGCUCCCAAGUAGCUGGGACUACAGGCGCGCGCCACCAAACCUGGCUAAUUUUUGUAUUUUUAGUAGAGACAGGGUUUCACUAUGUUGGCCAGGCUGGUCUCGAACUCUUGAGCUCAGGUGAUCCGCCCGCCUUGGCGUCCCAAAGUGCUGGGAUUACAGUCGUGAGCCACCGCGCCCGGCCAUCGAGGUGCUUUCAAUAAGUGCUUUUCGCGUAAGGUUGGACCGUGUGAGAGACCUUCCGAGCACUGCCUGAGCCUGCCAGGAGUUUACAGUCCAAUUGGAGAGAAAACAGCCCGGGAGAAUUAGAAAACAUCCAAAUGGUGCAACAGCGUGAUGAGACCACCAGUGGUGUGGGUCGUUAGGAAGUGGCUUCCUUUCUGACCUUGACUUUGCUGACAGGAUUUGACAUGGUCUCCUUGAAUUCUACCUCCUGGUUUUCUUAACUUGGACACCUUGAAGUGACUAUCUUUUCGCUACCUUUUGCUUUGACUGGCCAAAGCUCCUAAUACGCACUUCAGUCAACAAAGACUAAAGCUGGAUUACUUGGUAUCAUUUCUCUCUCUUUUUUUUUUUUUUUUUUUUUUUUCAAAAUAAUCCUUCUCUCCCAUUAGGGAAAGAUGAAUGAAGGAUAUACUGGAACUCUUUGUAGUAUCCUCGAAAUUCUUUAAAUGGAAAGUCAUUCCAAAAUAAAAACUUGAAUUUAUUGGAGGAUGGCUGUAAUAAAAAAGACAAAUAAUAAUAAGUUUAGGGGAAGAUGUGAAGAAAUUGGAACCCUCAUAUACUGCUGGUGGGAAUGUAAAAUGGUGCAGCCACUUUGGGAAAUAGCUGCAGUUGCUCAAAAGGUUAAAGAUGUGCCGUCUGCAGUGGCUCAUGCCUGUAAUCCCAGCACUUUGGGAGGCUGAGGCAGGCAGAUCACCUGAGGUCAGGAGUUCCAGACUAGCCUGGCCAACAUGGUGAAAACCCGUCUUUACUAAAGAUACAAAAAUU
Molecule: long non-coding RNA, 1284 nt
Filed under: Homo sapiens (human)
Lineage: Eukaryota; Metazoa; Chordata; Mammalia; Primates; Hominidae
Description: non-protein coding lnc-ZNF592-6:1
Source: RNAcentral